GGGUACACGAGCGGCGAACGGGUGAGUAACACGUGGGUAACCUGCCCUGUACUCUGGGAUAAGCCUUGGAAACGAGGUCUAAUACCGGAUACGACUCUUGAAGGCAUCUUUGAGGGUGGAAAGUUCCGGCGGUAUGGGAUGGACCCGCGGCCUAUCAGCUUGUUGGUGGGGUAAUGGCCUACCAAGGCGACGACGGGUAGCCGGCCUGAGAGGGUGACCGGCCACACUGGGACUGAGACACGGCCCAGACUCCUACGGGAGGCAGCAGUGGGGAAUAUUGCACAAUGGGCGAAAGCCUGAUGCAGCGACGCCGCGUGAGGGAUGACGGCCUUCGGGUUGUAGACCUCUUUCAGCAGGGACGAAGCGCAAGUGACGGUACCUGCAGAAGAAGCACCGGCUAACUACGUGCCAGCAGCCGCGGUAAUACGUAGGGUGCGAGCGUUGUCCGGAAUUAUUGGGCGUAAAGAGCUCGUAGGCGGUUUGUCGCGUCGGCCGUGAAAACUUGGGGCUUAACCCCGAGCCUGCGGUCGAUACGGGCAGACUUGAGUUCGGCAGGGGAGACUGGAAUUCCUGGUGUAGCGGUGAAAUGCGCAGAUAUCAGAGGAACACCGGUGGCGAAGGCGGGUCUCUGGGCCGAUACUGACGCUGAGGAGCGAAAGCGUGGGGAGCGAACAGGAUUAGAUACCCUGGUAGUCCACGCCGUAAACGGUGGGUGCUAGGUGUGGGGGACUUCCACGUUCUCCGUGCCGCAGCUAACGCAUUAAGCACCCCGCCUGGGGAGUACGGCCGCAAGGCUAAACUCAAAUGGAUUGACGGGG
This 818-nucleotide ribosomal RNA is filed under the name uncultured Actinomycetes bacterium. Its description in RNAcentral is "bacterial SSU rRNA". It matches the Rfam family "Bacterial small subunit ribosomal RNA", at positions 85 to 918 of the family's 1533-position model. Lineage: Bacteria; Bacillati; Actinomycetota; Actinomycetes. The record is from RNAcentral.